UACAUAGGGGGCGAGCGUUGUUCGGAAUUACUGGGCGUAAAGGGCGCGUAGGCGGCCCGCUAAGUCGAACGUGAAAUCCCCAGGCUCAACCUGGGAACUGCGUCCGAUACUGGCAGGCUUGAAUCCGGGAGAGGGAUGUGGAAUUCCAGGUGUAGCGGUGAAAUGCGUAGAUAUCGGGAAGAAUACCGGUGGCGAAGGCGUUCCGCUGGGCCGUUGCUGACGCUGAGGCGCGACAGCGUGGGGAGCAAACAGG
Molecule: ribosomal RNA, 253 nt
Filed under: uncultured bacterium
Lineage: Bacteria
Description: partial 16S ribosomal RNA
Rfam family: Bacterial small subunit ribosomal RNA
Source: RNAcentral